Molecule: ribosomal RNA, 467 nt
Filed under: uncultured bacterium
Lineage: Bacteria
Description: partial 16S ribosomal RNA
Rfam family: Bacterial small subunit ribosomal RNA
Source: RNAcentral
ACGAACGCUGGCGGCGUGCUUAACACAUGCAAGUCGAACGGAAAGGCCCUGCUUUUGUGGGGUGCUCGAGUGGCGAACGGGUGAGUAACACGUGAGUAACCUGCCCUUGACUUUGGGAUAACUUCAGGAAACUGGGGCUAAUACCGGAUAGGAGUUCCUGCUGCAUGGUGGGGGUUGGAAAGUUUCGGCGGUUGGGGAUGGACUCGCGGCUUAUCAGCUUGUUGGUGGGGUAGUGGCUUACCAAGGCUUUGACGGGUAGCCGGCCUGAGAGGGUGACCGGCCACAUUGGGACUGAGAUACGGCCCAGACUCCUACGGGAGGCAGCAGUGGGGAAUAUUGCACAAUGGGCGGAAGCCUGAUGCAGCAACGCCGCGUGCGGGUUGACGGCCUUCGGGUUGUAAACCGCUUUCGCCUGUGACGAAGCGUGAGUGACGGUAAUGGGUAAAGAAGCACCGGCUAACUACGUG